This 271-nucleotide long non-coding RNA is filed under the name Erythranthe guttata (spotted monkey flower). RNAcentral's name for it is "long non-coding RNA (EGUT_LNC001139)". The record is from RNAcentral. Lineage: Eukaryota; Viridiplantae; Streptophyta; Magnoliopsida; Lamiales; Phrymaceae.
AGCCAAAAGGCCCUCUCCUCUCCCUCUCCAUCGAUCAAAAACAGCCCCAAAGAAGAAUUCUCUUCUUCCAUCACCCCAUCAAAGCCCCUCUCUCCUUCCUCUCUUCAAUUCCUCUCCAAGAGAAACUCCCUCUUCUUCAAUUCUGCUAAAAAUCUUCAAGAAACAGCCCCUUCACAUCCUACAAACUCAGCCCCAAAGCCAUCCAAGAACAUCCAAGCCAAACCCGCCGAAAAUCCACCGAGCCUUUGGUUUUCUUACUCCUUCAUCUUCG